This 360-nucleotide ribosomal RNA is filed under the name Triticum aestivum (bread wheat). RNAcentral's name for it is "partial small subunit ribosomal RNA". The record is from RNAcentral. Lineage: Eukaryota; Viridiplantae; Streptophyta; Magnoliopsida; Poales; Poaceae.
AUGGCAAAGUAUUGGUGGAGUAGCUCCAUUGACCGCCGGUCUUUGCAUUGGGUGGCUUGGGAAAAUCUCACUGCUCCAAAGGUGAAUGGAGGUAUGGGGUUUAGGGAUUUUGAAAGUUUUAACCUAGCGUUGCUUGGUAAGCAUGGAUGGCGGCUGCUGACCCAUCCCAACUCCUUAUGCUCCAGAGUUUUGAAGGGAAAAUAUUUUCAUAAUUUUGAUUUCAUGGAAGCACAGGUGCCUCGCUCAACAUCGGCGACUUGGAAGGCGAUCAUAGCAGGUCGAAAGGCGCUGGAAUGUGGCUUGAUCAAACGUGUUGGGAACGGUGAAUCUAUAUCCACCUGGUCGGAUAGGUGGAUCCCG